RNAcentral lists this long non-coding RNA (890 nucleotides) under Ananas comosus (pineapple). Its description in RNAcentral is "long non-coding RNA (ACOM_LNC008916)". The record is from RNAcentral. Lineage: Eukaryota; Viridiplantae; Streptophyta; Magnoliopsida; Poales; Bromeliaceae.
AGAUGUGUCCCAACCUCUUAUGCCAUAAUAUGGAUGACCUUUUAUUAUUAAUGUCACGUUUUGAUCCAACAUUUCCGUGCAUGAUAAGAAGGAUUUCACUAUAUGAAUGAUCUAAAGACACUUUAUAUAGACACCAGAGUCAACUAUCUAAGAUUUAUAGGAUAAAAAAAAACACUUUAUUAUCAAAACUGAAACUAUAUCCCAAUCCAACAAGUUUCGAAAUAGAAAUUAAGUUCUUAGAAAAAUUUGGAACAUAAAAUGUAUCUUUUAAAUCCAAAUUGUGACCAGUGGAAAGAACUAAUCUAAAUGUUCCUACAAAUUCUAUUUUAAUUGGAUUUCGUUCAGCUAUAUAGAUAGUCGCUUCAUCUUUACUGGGUUUUUUUGCAUUUCUAAAAUCCCUGCAAGAAAUUCACCACGUGACAUGUGGCAUUAGAGUCAAUCCACCAAGUAUUAGACGGAACAAAAACUAAAUACAAUUCAUGCAUCAAAGCCAGAAAUUCACCAUUCUUCUGAAGCCAUUUCUGAUACUUUUGACAGUUCUUCUUCAUAUGACCUUUUUUCUUACAAAAGAAGUACUUGGGAGUUCAAUUACUUGAUUGGCCUUGUGAACCAGAUGUAACUUUCUUGUUCUUUCUUUUUGAGUCAUUCUUACCCUUCCCAUUCUUAGUACGCUUUAUUUGUCUCUUCUGAGAAACAAAGUUAACUGCAUUUUGUUUUUCUUGCAAUAAUCUGCCUUCCUCUUAUACACACAUUGUCAACAAUUCAUUAAUUAAUUAUUAUCUUUAUGUGUGUUAUAGGAAAUCUGAAAUGGUCCGUAUUCAGAUGGCAAAGAAUUCAAUAUAAGUGCACUAAGAAUGAAUUAGAGAUGGUUACUUCAAAUGCAGUGAGCU